AGAACGAACGCUGGCGGCAGGCUUAACACAUGCAAGUCGAACGCGUGUAGCAAUACACGAGUGGCGCACGGGUGAGUAACGCGUGGAUAUCUGCCUUUUGGUUCGGAAUAACCCCGGGAAACUGGGGCUAAUACCGGAUGGUUCCUUCGGGAUAAAGAUUUAUCGCCAAAAGAUGAGUCCGCGUACGAUUAGCUAGUUGGUGAGGUAAUGGCUCACCAAGGCGACGAUCGUUAGCUGGUCUGAGAGGACGAUCAGCCACACUGGGACUGAGACACGGCCCAGACUCCUACGGGAGGCAGCAGUGGGGAAUAUUGGACAAUGGGGGCAACCCUGAUCCAGCCAUGCCGCGUGAGUGAUGAAGGCCUUCGGGUUGUAAAGCUCUUUUGGCGGGACGAUGAUGACGGUACCCGCAGAAUAAGCCCCGGCUAACUUCGUGCCAGCAGCCGC
Molecule: ribosomal RNA, 447 nt
Filed under: uncultured bacterium
Lineage: Bacteria
Description: SSU rRNA
Rfam family: Bacterial small subunit ribosomal RNA
Source: RNAcentral